This 465-nucleotide ribosomal RNA is filed under the name uncultured Klebsiella sp. RNAcentral describes it as "bacterial SSU rRNA". It matches the Rfam family "Bacterial small subunit ribosomal RNA", at positions 338 to 795 of the family's 1533-position model. The record is from RNAcentral. Lineage: Bacteria; Pseudomonadati; Pseudomonadota; Gammaproteobacteria; Enterobacterales; Enterobacteriaceae.
CCUACGGGUGGCAGCAGUGGGGAAUAUUGCACAAUGGGCGCAAGCCUGAUGCAGCCAUGCCGCGUGUGUGAAGAAGGCCUUCGGGUUGUAAAGCACUUUCAGCGGGGAGGGAGGCGGUGAGGUUAAUAACCUCAUCGAUUGACGUUACCCGCAGAAGAAGCACCGGCUAACUCCGUGCCAGCAGCCGCGGUAAUACGGAGGGUGCACGCGUUAAUCGGAAUUACUGGGCGUAAAGCGCACGCAGGCGGUCUGUCGAGUCGGAUGUGAAAUCCCCGGGCUCAACCUGGGAACUGCAUUCGAAACUGGCAGGCUAGAGUCUUGUAGAGGGGGGUAGAAUUCCAGGUGUAGCGGUGAAAUGCGUAGAGAUCUGGAGGAAUACCGGUGGCGAAGGCGGCCCCCUGGACAAAGACUGACGCUCAGGUGCGAAAGCGUGGGGAGCAAACAGGAUUAGAUACCCUGGUAGUC